RNAcentral lists this ribosomal RNA (253 nucleotides) under uncultured bacterium. RNAcentral describes it as "partial 16S ribosomal RNA". It matches the Rfam family "Bacterial small subunit ribosomal RNA", at positions 524 to 776 of the family's 1533-position model. The record is from RNAcentral.
GACGUAGGGGGCCAGCGUUGUUCGGAAUUACUGGGUGUAAAGGGUUCGUAGGCGGUGUGGCAAGUCGGGAGUGAAAUCUCUGGGCUCAACCCAGAGGCUGCUUCCGAAACUGCUGUGCUUGAGUGUGGGAGAGGCGCGUGGAAUUGCAGGUGUAGCGGUGAAAUGCGUAGAUAUCUGCAGGAACACCCGUGGCGAAAGCGGCGCGCUGGACCGGUAUUGACGCUGAGGCGCGAAAGCCAGGGGAGCAAACGGG